Long non-coding RNA from Schistocerca gregaria, 572 nucleotides. RefSeq lists it as uncharacterized. The record is from RefSeq and is a predicted model, not a curated record. NCBI's taxonomy places the organism in Eukaryota, Metazoa, Arthropoda, Insecta, Orthoptera, Acrididae. The transcript is spliced from 3 exons.
UAAACAAUGCUCUCAGUUAAUUCUAAGCAAUUUGUUGUUGGUGUCUGUCCGUGCGACCCACAACGUGACAACGUUGUGAACCUUCGUUUACAGUUUAUACUGUGCGAAAGUGUAUUUAAACGAAGUGAAUUAGCGUCGUUGAUGUGUUUGUAUCAUUAACAAGUUUUGUAUGAACGAAACAGAUACUUCUCCGAUUAUUAAAACUAUCUUAAGACAAAUGUAGUAGAUUUUUUGCAAGAAUACAUUUAUUUUGCUAUUGAGCUGAUAGUUGAAUACGUUUGAAAGUUACAGUGACUGCAGAUACUGACUGAAAAUCUGCGCUGGUUACAAAAGUCAAGAAAUAUCGACCAGACAGCAUAUGUCAGUGGUACUACAUAUUGUGCCCAUAUGGGAACAUCAUAGGAAUUGUACCAGCUCAAAUUAUUUAUGAAGGUUCAUUUCAUGACUCCUCAUAUUGUCAGUUGACAGAUCAUGAACAUGGUGAGGCCAUCAAAGGUAUCCCACCAGGUAACACAUGCUGUACCUGGUUUGCAUCUGAUGUGUUCUGUAACAAACCAACAGCCUCAUUCAGU